GAACAGACUAAGCAGAAACAGCUAUCAAUGAGAAACAAGGAGAUCAUAAAAAAUAAAGGAGCACACACUACAGUAGCAAGAGCUAUGGUAUGGAUAAUAAGGAAGACAUGACUAUCAAGAGCACAAGACAUACAUACCUGCAGCUUCUAGUAAAGCUUCCAGUCUAGCCUGUGUCUCUGGAUCUACCGUCCUGAGGUCUGCACCAUCAGCAGUGCCUGAUAAGAGCAACUUGGAAGCUGUUUCCAGCAUUGGAUUCUCCAAAUCAUCCUGGUCCAAAAUGAAAGACUCCACCUAGAAAAGAAAAAGAAGACAGGAAAGAGGAGAAGAGGACAAAAACAAAACAGAGGAAGACCUGCAAACCCCAAGGCCUCAUGAGCCACCGCUGCAUAAGCCAAGGCUGCCAGAGCAACCAAGAAAAGCACCACAGCACCUGGGAUGAUGGGGAUCCUGAAGGCACGGAUCACCACUGGAUCAACUUCAGCAACCAUCAUGCAGGUUACUCUGGCAAAAUUGGUAUGAGGAUUUACCUUAGGAGCCAGAACUUCUGCCCAACUGCCAACCUUCCCAAACUGUGGACAGUGACCAGGAAAGGGACUCAAGUACAUGCUGUAAAAAACAAGACUGGAACUGUUCCCACUACUGACGUGGGACUAAGGGCUACUACAAAGUUCUGGGGAGGGGAAGGCUCUCCCCAAGCAGCCUAUCACUGCAAAAGCCAAAUUCAUCAGUAUAAGGGCUGAGAAGAAAAUCAAGGAUGUUGGAUGUUGGAGAUGCCUGUAUCCUGGUGGCUUGAAGCCACACAGGGAGGUUUAUUAAAUGCUAACAUUUUUAAGGUCUGAGUAUAGGUUCUUUGGUGAUGGGUCUUACUGACAACAGUCACAGUGUAUGGUGGAUAGA
Molecule: non-coding RNA, 897 nt
Organism: Peromyscus maniculatus bairdii (prairie deer mouse)
Lineage: Eukaryota; Metazoa; Chordata; Mammalia; Rodentia; Cricetidae
Source: RefSeq, a predicted model, not a curated record